Molecule: ribosomal RNA, 301 nt
Filed under: uncultured bacterium
Lineage: Bacteria
Description: partial 16S ribosomal RNA
Rfam family: Bacterial small subunit ribosomal RNA
Source: RNAcentral
CAGUAGCCACGGGAAUACGAAGGGUGCAAGCGUUACUCGGAAUUACUGGGCGUAAAGCGUGCGUAGGUGGUGGUUUAAGUCCGUUGUGAAAGCCCUGGGCUCAACCUGGGAAUUGCAGUGGAUACUGGGUCAUUAGAGUGUGGUAGAGGAUAGUGGAAUUUCCGGUGUAGCAGUGAAAUGCGUAGAGAUCGGAAGGAACAUCUGUGGCGAAGGCGACUAUCUGGGCCAACACUGACACUGAGGCACGAAAGCGUGGGGAGCAAACAGGAUUAGAGACCCCUGUAGUCCCUGUCUCUUAUAC